GUUGCUGUUGUACGCAGAUGCACUCAGGUGAAUUAUUGUUUUCUUUUUCCUUCAGAAUUUAACUCCAACACUCAGCUGGGAAUGAGCACAGAUCCAGGCAAUGUUCUGUCAGGAUGGAGUCUGAUGUCUUGUCAGAUCAUGUAAUGUAGCUGCCGGAAUUGAGCCAGAGCCAGAAAAACAUCCUGGCAACUUGGAAGACCAAAUGAUUGGCAAGAAGGCUCAAGAAAUCCUACGGACAGAAGACACAUCUAGUAGAAGUCCACACCGCUCUUCUGUUCCGCCUAUUCAGUUUUUAGUAUUUUCCACACUUUUGUAUGUCUAAUUUUCUAAAUUACAAUAUAUAGCCAAACUCUGUUUUUAGGAAAAAAUGCAAAA
Molecule: long non-coding RNA, 375 nt
Organism: Ochotona curzoniae (black-lipped pika)
Lineage: Eukaryota; Metazoa; Chordata; Mammalia; Lagomorpha; Ochotonidae
Exons: 4
Source: RefSeq, a predicted model, not a curated record